AUACCAUGGUGGGGACACUUUCUUAGCAUCUCUUUAUACCUCUCCCAGGCUUCACAGAAUGUUUUCUCCUGAUUGUUGAGAGAAUUGAGAUAGAGCAUUUCGUAGCGC
Daucus carota subsp. sativus is the source of this 108-nucleotide small nucleolar RNA. The record is from RefSeq and is a predicted model, not a curated record. Lineage: Eukaryota; Viridiplantae; Streptophyta; Magnoliopsida; Apiales; Apiaceae.